Long non-coding RNA from Pogoniulus pusillus (Red-fronted tinkerbird), 3474 nucleotides. RefSeq lists it as uncharacterized. Lineage: Eukaryota; Metazoa; Chordata; Aves; Piciformes; Lybiidae. The transcript has 4 exons. The record is from RefSeq and is a predicted model, not a curated record.
GGCUCAUUAACUUGACGUCCUGUCUGAGGGAAUUGGCUGGAGGGGGUCAGGUGAUGUGUAGCCCCCCUCCAGCGCCCGCUCACCUGGGCGGCCCGGGGAUGGGGACAAACGAGGCCGCCCGGUGUGAGCCGGGAUGCUGCGCGGCCGUUUCGCCAGGACAAACACCCCUAGAGGGGCUACGACAGGAGGGACGCUGCGGGGCGGAAGGGCUCCCCGUCGUGAUAAAGCAGGCUCCGGGUGGAGAGGACGGGGUGGUGGGCCCCGGGAGAAAACGGCCGAGCCCGCAGAGACACCUGGACUUCAUGGUAAUUCAUUACAUGGAGGCAAAUGGACCCACGUGAUGAAUAAAUGUUGCUUACCUGCUUAGAACCCCAUCUGUAUCAUGCAGGACAAGGUGUCCAUAAUUUAAGUUAUAUUUGAGAGAACACCCCAACCACUUUUAUUAUGGCAUUCAUCACUUAGAACCUGGGAGAAGAGUUAUUUGGAGCAGCCCAGACAGGUCAGAACUACUGUACAGAUGUAGAUGUGUAUGUUGGCAUUUACUCCAGAGGCUGGUAGUGAAAGGUCUCCCAAGAUCAUUAAUAAGGUGCUGCUUGUGAGAGUAACACAGCUCCCAGUCACCAGCAAACCAGCCCAUAUUGUAAGCUUAAAUGAAACCUUGUGAUCAAAAUUCUACACUUCAAACCAAAUGUAAUGCAUGGUGCACCAGUUACUGAUACAUGUGCUUAACUAAAUAUGCCUGAGAAGUCAGUCAGUGAAAGGAUGCACUGGUGCAGAGGCUUUUUAUAUCAUCUUGAACAUAUUUCAUCUCAAAGAGCUUUUAAGUAACUAUUCUCUAUCAAUAUCUGGGUUUCAGAAGAGAAGCUGCCUGAUCAAUUGCCUGGCUCAGAAGUAAGAGGGUUACUGUAAUUAUCUUGUUUGCAAGAAAAAUAAGAAUAUUUAUCUCAGUUUAGUAGGAGAAAUGGCAAUUGUGAAAUUUAUCACUAGCUCAAACGUGGUUUUGUUUUGCUGAUGAACAAAUGUUGAAUGAAUGACCUUUGUGCUCGUAUUUUCCAUGUUGGUUCUAUGGGAAUUUUAUGUUAAAUUUGCUAUAAAAUACUGGAAGCUUUUGAGACAUUUGACCCAAAUGAGAAUAAAUCACCUUAUGAGUCCUGCAUUUUAACAUUUUGAGGUAGGAGAACCAAACCCCAUCAUUUUCCAUGCUGUAGAAAACAAAGAAUAUUUCUGAACACUUAGCUUACAUGCAGCUGUUUGUUAAUGUGCAGUACUGCUGACCUGCUGCAAACUUGAAGUACACUGAGGGGUCUCAAGGGGGACCUUCUAUCCAAUGUGUCUGAAGGUGCUGAAAGGCACUGUGAAGAACAAGAACCAAGGAAAACGAAACCUUUCUCUUUACAUCAGCAAGUCACCAGGAGCGUCUCAAAGCAGUUGGUUACUUUGGGAAAAGCAAGCCAAGCGAGUUUCUCAUUCUUAGGAUCCACCUCUCUGUGGAGCAAGGAUCACAAGUCCAGCAUGAAGAGGGCACUUUGGUAAAUGUGGGACUGUCACGGGGUUAUCAAAUGAGCUGCCAUCCAACAGCAGCAGCUGGCUGCAAGUAGUGAAAAGUGUGACUAGUCUGUCACACUGACUAGUCUGUCAGUAUAUUAGUGUGUCUAUUACUAGUCUGUUAGUAUGUUAGUGUGACUAAUAAACUGACAAUACCUCCUGUAGAUCUGGAGAAGUGAGCCUGAGGAAAUGAGUGAGGGCACAGUUGAUUCAGACUAUCUAUCCAUACCUUCUCCUAAAUACAUUUUGAAGUUGUAUAGGUGCUAGACAUUACUAAGCAUCAGAAACACUUUCAAAGCACUGAUUCUGUUUACUCUGGUGCAAUUCUGAGCUGGGAUUUAUGACCAGUUUAGCAGGACAGCUUCUCAGAAUUUGUAGGGGGUGAUUAUUUUGGCAUUGUUUUGAUGACUGCUCUCCAGUCCAGUGUUUAGGCUAAAUUAAUUUACUGAUCUGGUAAGACAGUGUUCUUUUUUGUUAGCUUCACUCAGUAAUGCUACUAUAUAAAUACAUUUUAUUUGGAUGCUAUUUUUACUUCAUUUUAGUUUUAAGACUUUUAUGAGCAUUGUAAUAAAAAGCAUCUACAAAUACCCUCCUGAUACUUGGUCAGUAGGCAAUAACAUUUACCCAGAAUGGAUAUUGCCAGGCAAAAAAAGCCUGACUGGAUUCACUUAUGUUAGUGAUUUCCACAGGUUUGUUUCACUGACAGCAUAUUUGGAUCAUCAAAGAUGUAGCACUCUACCUGUACAUUCAAGUUGUUAGGACUGGGGCUUGUGAUGAAGAGACAUCUAUCCACCCACUACAAGGAAAAUGACAAACCCACCUUUAUUUUUUAACCACAGACUAUAUUUUUUCUAAGUUACAAAAAACUAGGAAGCUGUUUGGAGAUUAAAGGAAUUGUGUCAUUGGUCAUUAGAAAGGGAAAAGCCACAUUUAGAGAUCUAAGGAAUAUCUAUUGCCAGCAAAAUAACAGAAUGAAAAAAAUUGGAGGAAAAAUAAUCACUAAGCACGUAGGGAUAAAGAUAAGAAAAUAAUGAUCAUCACUGGGGAUUUAUAAAGAACAAAUUGUGCUGGAAAAGCUUGAUUGCUUUUCUUUAAUAGAACUAUAAAAUUAGUGGAUGAAGGCAACACGAUGGAUUUCAUACAUUUGUAUUUUAGUAAAGAUCUGAUACAUAAAUCCUACUCGAAAUUAUUUCAGAUUGGCUUGGCUAUGUCACCACAUGCAAUGAAAAAUUGUCUGGAGACCUGCAAAUAAAGCAUAAUGAUGCAUAAAAAGGUAUUGUGUUGGAGGGAGAGGUCUCCCUCCCAGGGAUCAGCAGUUGGUUAUGUCCUAUUUAACACUUCUUGACAUGACACCUGCCUGGAAAUCAGGAAAUUUUAUUAAGUGAGAGAAUAUAGAAGGACAUGUGGGACAGGGCAGCUGGAAAUAAAAUUAGAUCCCAGUAAAAAGAAAAUCAAGUAUUAUCCAAACUACACUAUCCAGUCACGAGGAGGUCCCUAGAAAACACCAGAUAAGAAUCACUGCAGCAGGUAACAAUGAGAUGGAAAACUGCAGCGAAAAACAGUAUAAAAAUAGCUGGACUGAGUGAAAGAGCUGAAAAUCAUCCCAGUAUGGAAGGACCACAAGGCUUUUGCAGUAUCUGUGUCCCACAUGCGCUGUCAACAUGGUGCCAGGCAGGUUUUGGUGGUACAGCAUGCAGGGACCUAUUGCAUGCUGGAGACAAAGCUGCAGUAAUUUUUUUCUCCCCAGAAACAGGCAGUGCAGAUACUCUUGGUGUAGUUGGCCUCAUUUGAGAGAAGGGCUUUAAAUAGAUCCUUGUUAAUUGUCAGGGUUGUUUUUUCUUGUUUGUUUUUAAUGUAAAACCAGGAAAGAAAAUGGCAGUAAAGCAAAUUAUCUGCAUUAACAGUAGCCAUAAAUCCCCAUUUUCCUAA